Molecule: long non-coding RNA, 7505 nt
Organism: Peromyscus leucopus (white-footed mouse)
Lineage: Eukaryota; Metazoa; Chordata; Mammalia; Rodentia; Cricetidae
Exons: 5
Source: RefSeq, a predicted model, not a curated record
UUCUACCUGCAGCCGUUUUCAAGAAUCUGAGGUAUUUCCAGGCCAGUAUCUCUUCCCUCUGCCUGCAUAUCUCAGGUCAAUUGUGCAGCCCCAGCUACUGGGUUAUAGUGCUGUAGGGAUUGGAAGAAGGGAGAGAUGACCGCUGGAGCUUCCUGUGACUAAGGUACAUGGCAGGUUACAACUCUUCACUCCAUCAAAAGGACUAUGGUUAUGUAACCAGCUCUAGUCAACCACAUGCAUAUAUCAGAAAUGUCAGAAGCCAACCUGGGAUGCAGAAUUUGAAAGCUGAUUCCUGUGUGGAAAUGGUGCUGUCUUCAUCAGCCUGAGUUCCCAGUAACUCAAUGGACCAGGGGACGUUUCUUCCUUUCAGGUUCCAUCCAUGGUUGAACUUAGGAUGUAAAUGUUAGUAUGUUCCUCACAGCUAUUGCGAUUCUUCAGACUGUGAGGUAUCUCAGUGCAAUCCCAACCAUCUGUCUGGAAUGAUACAUUUUCUGAUUAGUGGCCUAUCAUCUGGGCCUCCCUCUGAGACUGGACUUUUCUGGCAACUUUCAAAGACUUCUGAAUCCACAUUCUAAAUGCCAGCACUGAAGAGAUUGCCUUGCUCCCAGUGAAAACAUAAAAUGUUGAUAUAAUCCCCUCGAAUGUUCUGAUAAACUAUAGUCCAACAACAUUCAUCCCAUUCUUCUAGGGUCCUGGAAGAUGGCCACAUUGACAUACCAAUGUUAUAUUCAUAGAUCCCCAGACAGUGAGGUUUACAGCAUAUGUUUCCAUUUCAGUUUUGUAAAUCAGUUGUAGCAGUCAAUUCAGUCAUAGUGUUCUGUCCAAAACAGAGGACUAUUCUGGACAGGCAUGUGAGGUGAAGGAUUAUGGGAAAAAAACAAGUGCAAUGGAUUUAGAAGGAAGUAUAUUGAUAUUGUGGGAGAACAAAAUCAGCAUAUCUGAGCUAUAAAAAUAGCACAAGUCUCCACAUUAAAUUCUAUGAAUCUCAGUUUAAUCUAUAUAUGAUAAAAUAUUCAAAAGCUCAAAGGAAUUAAAUAUUUUAGUAAGAGAAAGAUAUUUAGCAAAAGUCUUUUACAGUCGCUCUCUCUCUGAAAUGAACUUGACCCAGGCAGGGUCUGAAUGUGGAACAGUCAGACCUGGGCACAGCAUGUCCAAGGCCAUGUGUGAAGCUGAGUUCCUUUCUCUGUAAUAGCCCUCCAUCCUGGAGCUUCAUGGCUUCCACUCACACCCUUUUGAGUUAUUCUUCUGAGAUCAGUCAGGUAUCAUGCAUGGGCUGGAUAGAACAUAAAAUUGGAAUACUGGAAACUAAAAACGGAACUGCCAUAUGGUCCAGUAAUCCCAUUUCUGGGUACAUAUCCAAACGAAUUAAAAUCAGUAUGUCAAGGAGACAUCUGCACUCCCAUGUUCAUUUCAGAAUUAUUCACAAUAGCCAAGACAUGGAACCAAUAUAAGUAUCCAUCAAUAGAUGAAUGGAUUAAGAAAACAUGUAUGUGAUAUGUAAGUGCAAUGGAAUAUUACACAGCCUUUAAAAUGAAUUAGAUUCUAUUAUUUAUGCCUACAUGGAUGGGAGAAGAAAGCAUGUCAGGUCAAAUAAAAGAGGCACAGAAAUAUUUUAUAUGUUACUAUGCUUCAAUAUGGAAUCUUUAAAAAGAAGAAUUUAGACAUACUAAGUAGGCAACUGGUUAUCAGUGGCUGGGGAGAGAGAGAGAAAUGGGUGAAGGUAUUUGGGAUCAAAUGAAGUUAUUUCAGUUAAAACUCUAAGCAGAGACUUCAAUGAUUUAUUGUACUGCCUGGUCAACAUAGUUAAUGGUACAUUUCAAAAUUGAUUGACCAUAGAUUUUCACCUUCUUAUCACACAUAAAAAAAGUUGUUUGUUACCAGAUGUGUUAAACACCCGGGCCAACUAUCUGUAUGAUAUGUCCAUAGGCCAGAUAUCAAAUUGUAUCUCAUAAAUAUGCAUAAUUAUUAGUUGUCAAUUAAAUAUUUUAAUUACAAAAAUUCAAGAAAAACUGUAACAAAUUUGCAUUAGAGUUUAGGAGGGAUGUGUGUGAACAUAUGUGCAUAUGUACAUGCAUGUAUGUAGCACGGGUUGUCAAGCGUUUUUAAAUUGAAUUUACUGUCAAAUUCAGCUCCUGCCUUACAUUGCCCUCUGUAAUGGAAUACUUUAGGAGAUGACACUUGCAAAAAGCCAGCUUGGAUGUGGAAAGGCAAAUUUCUGCAUGCUCCUAUUUCCAGUUGUAAAAGAACAUUGCUAACCCAAUUGGAAAUGAUUAUUUUGAACUCUAACAAGCCCUUAAACGAAUCUUCCUGUAGAGAAGGCUUCUGUCAAAGUAUUAAUGGCUGAAUCAUUUCUCCUGCUGAAGAUGUGUUGGCCCAACAAAAUCUGAUUCUGCCUCUCGAGUGGCAAAACAUGCCAGAACAUCAGGCGGCUAGUGCUCCGCAUGCAUUCGGGUCUGCCUGCUCUUCUCAUUUUGUGAGCCUCACAGGCUCUUCAGCAACUGUUGCUUCAAAUCCAGGAGAUGUGAAACUUUCAUGCAGGGUUGCCUUUGGAGAAGUGAAUAAAGAUGCCUGCUGGAGUCCAGGUCUGACCACUGUUAUCACAGAAAAUAAAGCCACUCCUGUUUCAGGACAAACAGCAUGCAGGAGGCAAGGUCGACAGUAAAAACAGGUAUGUCUGAUGUUUUCCCAUUCCCAUGCCCUCUGCGUGCAUCUCAACGCUGCAUUUCUACUCCAUUGAUUCUGUAGCAAGAAACAUUCAUAGUAACAACGAUCAGAUCGGAGCUCCAUGGCCGACCACCUAGAAAGAACUGGUCUGUGCUGUGAGUCUGGGCCCUGAGCACAGCCCUGAGCUUUCUGCAUGGCUAGUGCGGGACAAUGUCCCACACUCAGUUUCAAAAUGCGCUGUCAGUCAGAGCUCUGGCAUCAGUGCGACCUCAAAGGGCGAGAGCAGUCACCGUGGAGUCCUGGUCAGUGACUGGUGGCCGGGUGGGUGAGGUGGGGUGGAAAGACGCACUUUGGGGCACUGACAUUCGCUUUUCCCAUGCUCUGACAACAAGCUGUCCACAGGAGUUUGCUUUCUCCCACCUUCACAGCCGGCUCUUUCUGUCCCCCUUCUUUCCUGGUUCACCUCUCCCCCACUGUGCCCUGCCUUUGCUGAAAGAAAGAGACUUAAGUGUCACAAAAGGCCAAGGGUAGCUCAGUUUCAGACCCCAGGGCAACAUGUGUUCAGCGAACAGGAGUGUAAGAAACACUGCAUACAGCAGUUAAUGCUCUAGACAUCCCAGUUUCUGAUAGAGCCUCCUUUGUAGCCGUGCAUAUUUAUUGACAUUCAAAGAGGUUGUGCUCGCAUACCAGACAACAGCUAUUGAGAACACAGGCAAUCUUAAAAUGAUUAAGGCCCUGGAGUUUACUAAAGAUAUGGUAUGCAAAGAAUCACGAGAAAGCCAUAGAAUAUUAAAAAUAUUAAUAAUGUCAGUUCUAAUAAUUCAAUAUGAGAUUUAUUGUAGCCCAAUCCUGUUCCAAAUGGCAUACCCUGUCUUUUUUUUUCUGGAGAGUGAACAAAGAUCACGGAACAGAUUGUAACCUGGGUAAAUUGCGUGUCUGUUUACAAUUGUAUUUCACAUAUUUUAUAUACCAUUUGCAAACUAUUCCCCAAAGAAAUAUGCAUCAAACUUUUGGGGAAAAAAAAUGAAGAUUUGAUGACAAUCUGUUUUCCGUUCAUUUGUUUCAGAUGCUGCUGAGAUCCUUUGUAUUUUGAAUGCAAUGUCUCAGGCUGGAUAUCACUGGGUUCUUUUGUUCUUUCAGGCUUUACAUGCAUAAACUACAUUUCUUGUAAUGAUAUCACCACGAUUAAGUAAAAAGGAUGGAGGGAAUAAAGCCCUUCUAGAAGACUGCAGUUUACACAUGCAAUGUAAUCACGAACUUCUGAUCAAAUGUGUGUUUCGAGUGUGUUUCACUCUCACUCUGAAAACUCAAGUCCUUCUACCUAAAGCUUGCUCCUACAGGGACAUGGGAUUCGUGAGUUCCAAGGUUGUCAUCACAGAGGCAUCUUAGGUUACCAGUUGAGGAAAGCAGUUAAGUGUUUCAGAAUAUUUAUGAAUAUGUUUUCCUGGUCUGUACUUUGGGGAUGGGAAAUAAUUCCCUAGUAAUUAAUUGGUGUAACUUAUUUAACUGUCAAAACUGAAGACUAAUCUUGGAGUAGCCGUUUAACCAUUUGAACAACCAAUGGUGACUACUAAGGAGUGUGACUCACAGAAAACACUGGGGAAGGGCAGUGAUUCGGUACUGCUUGCUAAAUGGCUGCAUAUGGCUCAGUCUUACGAUUACUCACAGCGUAUUAAUUGAAGCUCUCUACUCCUAAGUCAGCCCGGAGAUCAGACAAAAAGCACUCUCUCAUUAAGAAAAGACAUUUCUAUCCCACUACAAAUAAGGGCUCUUGUAUCAUACUCAGACUAAAUACUAUUGUACACUUGAUAUUUAAUUACUGUUUGUACUUGAAUUGAAAGCAUUAAAAAAUACACAUUUUUCAAAAUGCCUUCAAAAAUAAUUAUGAGAAAAAAAAGUACAUUACUAUCAAGUCAACUUGUGCACAGACAUCUAAUAAAUAUAUCUUAUGACUAGUCAUUGUGAUAAAGGAUAAUAAGGACUGGGAGUAAGGGUUGGCUUUGGCUUAGAAACUAAACACACACAUUUCAUAGUAAAUGAUGAGGAUCACUGGAUAGGCACGUUAAGGAGCUUGGGAAAGAGAGCAGUUACUCACUGAAAACGCUUUUGGCCACUCUUGACCUUUGAGUUCCCAACUUAAAGGACACAUAAACAACACCAUUCUCCAGCAAGUUGCCUUGAUAACCUGCUGGAAACGGGACAGAAUAUCCUGCAGCCAUUUGACAUGCACAAUUUAGCAAUUAUGUGGUUGGGGAGGAAUGAUUUUGUUAAGCCACUGGGGACUGCUGGUGUUUACAGCCUUUACAGAUUUAUAGAAAAAUCCAAAGUCUAACCAGGCACAAUCAACAUCACAGUAGCACAGUGUGAGGCAGACGGUCUACGGGAAAAGCAGACACAGACAAUUUCAAGUACAUAGGUCAAUCUAAACCAAAAAGAAGCGAGUAAGGGAGACUAGAAGGUCUUGAGUUGAGGCUAUCCAUUCCUGUGUUUACAAGGUGGGUGUCUAAAAGUCACAGGAAAAGUUUUUAAGUACAAAUUUAAGAAAUACCUUUUCUCCAGAUGAAGAAAUAUUAAAGUUUGUUUUACUUUCUAACUAAAAGAAGGUAUCAUUUUCCUCCUAGCUUUGAGACUUACAAUUUUUAUUUAUUUUUAUUUUCCAGGACAUACACAAGUUACUGGCAAGUUGAAUAGUGCCAUUGCUUUAAAUAUUUCAAUCUAAUUCAGGAUUCUUGAUUUGUUUCCUCUGUGAAUAAUUUAAAACUCUUUUCUUUUGUUUAGUUUCCUUGAUAGGAAAAAUACGGUAUUUACAUUUUCCUUUUUAAAAGACAAAUAGAUUAAAAGUCGAGAUUUUCUUUUCCUCAUCAUAAAGUAAAAUCAUGUUCAAACUUUUAUAUUUUUUUUUACAUGCAAGCACAGCUUAGUGCUCACUCCCAGCACUCCACUUCAGUGGGGGUGGAUUCCACAGUCCUGUGCCCUCAUCAAUCAGGUACAAUUGCAGCAGGCAUGACUGGAUCCCCUCACCCUAACCCAUUCCCUGCUGCUUGGGCACUGCCUGCCAAAUGUUGCAGGAAGUGACUGGAAUAUGCACAGCACUCCAGCCCGACCCUCAGGGAGCUUGGGGGUCACUGCCAUCCCCACGGAGAACCCAGAACAGCUGCUCUCCAAGCAAGGAGUCUGGAGUCCAGUCAGUUUGCAGAAGAUCAUCUCUCACAGGGAUUUGUGAUCCUGCCAGCUCAACGCAUCCAAUGAAACCAGCCCCCUGCACCCACAUCUCCCUUCAGUGUCUAGUUCAGGACAUUGAUGCUGGAGUUGAAAUGUAAAGAUUAGAUUUUAGCUUUGUUUUUACUAAACCGAGAAGCCAAGCAAGUUAAAAAAAAGUGUCUGAAUUAGAUAAUGAGUUAAUUAUCUAAUGAAGGGCAAGUAGACGUGUCAAGAAAGGUCCACGGUGAUAGGGGCAAGAGAUGGAGAAAGAUUGGUUCACACAGAAAUUGGCUGUUGAUGUUCCAAGGACCUUGAAGUAGACUCCCAAUUUCGAUGCAGCCUUAAUGCAAGUGUGAUUUUUCAGCAGAUGGAAUGCAGAAGGCUAGGACUCCCUAAACUAAGUUACACAAAAUUGAUAUUCAUCCAUCGGGACUUAGGAACUUUUGGGGAUCUACCUGGCAAAGAAACGUAUGUGAACAUGCCCCACAAUGCAACAGUAACAUGAUGGUUCUUGGACGACGCCUUACUGUGCUUGUCUCGAACAGAUGUAUUUUGUGCCUUGCAGCCCCUGCAUAGGAAUAUUGGCUGCAACUCCCGCCUUAAAGGGACUAAGCAUGAUGAUUUUCCACAUGCUGAGCAGCUGAACAAGUGUGUGCUCUGUGCAUGAUUACACAGUUCCUCCAUUGCAAGAAGCAACAGCAAUGAUGUCUUUGAUGGUUGGACUGUCAGGUCCCUCUCCCAAGAAUUACACAUACACAUGAGAUAUCCUUUGAUGAUUGACAGGAUCCUGCCAAGUGCCACUCAUGACUACUACCUUAACAUGGAAAUUCCUUAGUCUCCUGUGUGGAAUCUUCUGAUGCCACCAUCUCUGCACUUUUAUGGAUGAUGAGCCAAUCACUGACCCUGACAAGACUUGCUAUCAUCUCCGGAUGGGAUAGGAGUCAAUUCAAUCUGUAUUGACAUAAAAAUCUGAUGCUCCCCUCGAUUCCUAGCAUCAGGUGGUCUCCACAGUUGCCUUCUGUCUUUGCUAAGAUUCCCAAGCACUCAUUUCCCACACCUUCACACACACCCCCAAGACACAUUCUGCUUCUUCUUUGCUUUGUGUUCCUCUGGAACACUUUCUACAACUGAAAAGACUACCUCUUCUCUGUCUCUUUUCCUCUGCCUUCUUCUGACUAGAAUGAGAGUUGACUGGGACAGUAUUUUGCUAUUGUUUAUUACUCUAUCCACACUGUACAUUCCAAUCUACACUCUCAUUGUAACUCUUUAAAUAUGCAUUGAGCUAGUAAAUACAUGAAUAUACUCAUAAGUGAAUGAAAGUGAGAGAUUAUUUCUAAAUGUGUGUUUGGUGUCCUGUGAAUUUACCUGGGGGGGGGGUUCUCUUUUUUUUUUUUUUCUUUUUCAGUGCAUUUUUUGGCAAUGCUAUUUCUCAAACAUUUUGGGCCAAAUAGAAUAUUUUUCUUUGAACUACAUGUUUUUCAAUGUGUUUUCUAUGGUGCAAUUGAUGUUAAUUCUAGUGUGGGUGUGAGUGUUUUGGUCAUGUGGGUGAAGGAGUUGCUUAUUGGAGUUGGCCAGUACAGGAUGAGAGGCUCACUCUGCUCAGUUCCUAGCCAAUGGAAUGGACUGUUUUUUUUUUUUUU